AUACGGAGGGUGCAAGCGUUACUCGGAAUCACUGGGCGUAAAGCGCGCGCAGGCGGCUAUUUAAGUUGGAUGUGAAAGCCUACGGCUCAACCGUAGAACUGCAUCCAAAACUAUUUAGCUAGAGUGUGGGAGAGGAAGAUGGAAUUAGUUGUGUAGGGGUAAAAUCCGUAGAGAUAACUAGGAAUACCAAAAGCGAAGGCAAUCUUCUGGAACACUACUGACGCUGAGGCGCGGAAGCGUGGGGAGCAAACAGGAUUAGAUACCCUAGUAGUCC
RNAcentral lists this ribosomal RNA (274 nucleotides) under uncultured bacterium. RNAcentral's name for it is "partial 16S ribosomal RNA". It matches the Rfam family "Bacterial small subunit ribosomal RNA", at positions 523 to 796 of the family's 1533-position model. The record is from RNAcentral.